UACGGAGGGUGCGAGCGUUGUCCGGAAUCACUGGGCGUAAAGGGCGCGUAGGCGGCGCGGGUAGUCAUCGGUGAAAGUUCAGGGCUCAACUCUGAAUCGGCCGGUGAUACUCCCGUGCUCGAGCACUGUAGAGGCAGGUGGAAUUCCGGGUGUAGCGGUGGAAUGCGUAGAGAUCCGGAAGAACACCCGUGGCGAAGGCGGUUCUCUGGGACGGUACUGACGCUGAGACGCGAAAGCGUGGGGAGCGAACAGG
RNAcentral lists this ribosomal RNA (253 nucleotides) under uncultured bacterium. Its description in RNAcentral is "partial 16S ribosomal RNA". It matches the Rfam family "Bacterial small subunit ribosomal RNA", at positions 524 to 776 of the family's 1533-position model. The record is from RNAcentral.